CAUGCAUUACAAAGAGACAUUUUUACACCAAAUGAUGAACGCCUGCUGAGCAUUGUGAAUGUCUGCAAAGCAGGAAAAAAGAAAAAGAACUGUUUUUUAUGUGCCACAGUGACAACUGAACGCCCUGUGCAGGUUAAGGUGGUCAAAGUCAAGAAAUCCGAUAAGGGAGAUUUCUACAAAAGGCAGAUUGCAUGGGCCCUUCGAGAUCUUGCUGUGGUAGAUGCCAAAGAUGCUAUCAAAGAAAAUCCUGAAUUUGAUUUACACUUUGAAAAAAUAUAUAAAUGGGUUGCCAGCAGCACUGCUGAAAAGAAUGCAUUUAUUUCAUGCAUUUGGAAAUUGAAUCAGCGAUAUCUCCGGAAGAAAAUUGAUUUUGUCAAUGUUAGCUCACAGCUUUUGGAAGAAUCUGUUCCAAGUGGAGAAAAUCAGAGUGUGACAGGAGGUGAUGAAGAAGUAGUAGAUGAAUACCAAGAGUUAAAUGCAAGAGAAGAACAGGAUAUCGAAAUAAUGAUGGAAGGCUGUGAAUAUGCAAUCUCGAAUGCGGAAGCCUUUGCAGAAAAAUUGUCCAGAGAGCUGCAGGUGCUAGAUGGGGUAAGACUUUCUUGAAUUCUAUGAAUAAGUGAUGUAUAGUGGAUUGAGAAGGCUAAUGAUGUUCAUAUUAUACUGCCUCAGCACUUAAGCCUUUAUAGUGUGUUAUUGCCAUCUUUAUCUAUAAGCACAUUACCAGCUGCCAUCAGUCUUUUACUGUUCUUGUUCAAAAGAUGAACUAUUCCUGUUAAGCCAAUGAAGACAGUUGGCUGAGAUUCUGGAUUUGGGGAGGU
RNAcentral lists this small RNA (818 nucleotides) under Pan troglodytes (chimpanzee). RNAcentral's name for it is "retained intron". Lineage: Eukaryota; Metazoa; Chordata; Mammalia; Primates; Hominidae. The record is from RNAcentral.